Long non-coding RNA from Rhincodon typus (whale shark), 357 nucleotides. RefSeq lists it as uncharacterized. Lineage: Eukaryota; Metazoa; Chordata; Chondrichthyes; Orectolobiformes; Rhincodontidae. The record is from RefSeq and is a predicted model, not a curated record. The transcript is spliced from 2 exons.
CAGUUGAGCAGACUGUCUCUGGAAGAAGGGGUGCCUUUGUCAGAAAGGGGUCUCAUGAAGAGAUGGAGAGAUGGAGAUGGAGAGGCAGAGGAAUGAUUUCCUCAAUAAGGGAACCUUCGGUUAGAAGUGGCAUGCCUGUGAACUGCAUCAUCAACCGUGUAGUCAGUCUGACCCGAUGCACAGGCCUCAAUCUCUGUGGUGUUUAAUUGCGUCUGCAAGAAGAGGUGCAAUCUGCUGUCUGAAAGGAGUACGUUGAUCUGCAAUACUCUGCAACACAAAACGAAAACCUUGAAAGGUUUCUGUAAAUAAAUGGAUGAGAUAGCCUGUAAACCAAUAAACUAGUAUUUAGUUCAGUUA